GACGAACGCUGGCGGCGUGCUUAUCACAUGCAAGUCGAACGGAAAGGCCUCUUUCGGGGGGUACUCGAGUGGCGAACGGGUGAGUAACACGUGAGUAACCUGCCCUUGACUUUGGGAUAACUUCAGGAAACUGGGGCUAAUACCGGAUAGGAGCUCCUGCUGCAUGGUGGGGGUUGGAAAGUUUCGGCGGUUGGGGAUGGACUCGCGGCUUAUCAGCUUGUUGGUGGGGUAGUGGCUUACCAAGGCUUUGACGGGUAGCCGGCCUGAGAGGGUGACCGGCCACAUUGGGACUGAGAUACGGCCCAGACUCCUACGGGAGGCAGCAGUGGGGAAUAUUGCACAAGGGGUGGAAGCCUGAUGCAGCAACGCCGUGUGCGGGAUGACGGACUUCGGGUUGUAAACCGCUUUCGCUCAUGACGAAGCUUUGUGUGACGGUAGUGGGUAAAGAAGCACCGGCUAACUACGUG
RNAcentral lists this ribosomal RNA (467 nucleotides) under uncultured bacterium. RNAcentral's name for it is "partial 16S ribosomal RNA". It matches the Rfam family "Bacterial small subunit ribosomal RNA", at positions 28 to 507 of the family's 1533-position model. The record is from RNAcentral.